This 72-nucleotide non-coding RNA is filed under the name Dethiobacter alkaliphilus. RNAcentral's name for it is "Fluoride sequence". It matches the Rfam family "Fluoride riboswitch aptamer (crcB RNA motif)". The record is from RNAcentral. RNAcentral also lists the same sequence under 1 other name. Lineage: Bacteria; Bacillati; Bacillota; Dethiobacteria; Dethiobacterales; Dethiobacteraceae.
UUUAAUUAAGGCGAUGGAGCUCGCCGGGGCAUUGCCCAAACCGCACAAUGUGCUAAUAGCUCCUGCCAUGUA